RNAcentral lists this long non-coding RNA (3330 nucleotides) under Homo sapiens (human). Its description in RNAcentral is "HSALNT0344390". The record is from RNAcentral. Lineage: Eukaryota; Metazoa; Chordata; Mammalia; Primates; Hominidae.
UCAUUGUGUGGUCGAAGAUGUGGUUUGCGAGUGCCCAUGGCAGGAUUCCCACUGCGGAGACUCCUGUACAUCGGGUAUGAGGCAGCACAUUGCGUGCAAUGCAUUCUGGUCUUUUUUCCUCCCUCCAGAAGAGGCUCCAUUUAUGUGUUAGGCUUUAAGAGGCUGGGCGUACCAAAAGGAAGUCUCUGAAACGCAGUCCUGUCGAACACCUCUGGAGUUGAUUCUUCUGAUAUCACAGGAGUUCUUCCUAUCACUGUAUAUUAUUGGGUGCGAGCCCCCGGUCCUUCCUCUAUGAGGAGGCAGUGGAGGGAAGAGUUGAACCUCUUCUCGCACACACACCUGAGACUCCCUGGCUCUCUCUGUGGGCCACAGGAUGGGCUUCAGUUAUGGCGAGUAAUAAUUUUGUUAUCGCGGUUUUUACAUUGAUUUGGAACAUGGUGUUACACAAAAUGCUGAAAUUGAAAAAGACAGGAUGAGUCACCUUUGCCCUGUCUCCUCUUCAAGUCUGAUCCUAAUUGAACGGAGAGUGCAAACUGCACGCCAAGAUUUGCAGAACAAAGGCCUCCCCGCCCACGAGUUCCUCAUGGCCUUGCCUCAGUCCCCGAAAUCCCGCUGUUAGCCUCCCUCACUAGAAUAAGGCAUUAGCACAGAAGCCAACGUUGGGGGAAAAGAAAAUCAAUACAGCGUGGAAGAGAAAGCAGGAAGCCAUGGAGGGAGGAAGAGACUGAGGCUCCGGCUGGAAGGACUUCGUUUGUGAUAAGAGCAGAGAGGAAAAGCAGCAAGAAAGAAAAGUCGCUGUACACUUUGGGUCUGGACAUCAAAGAAACAAAGGAAAUGCUUAGAUUCAGAGUGGCACGUGUGUAGAAAAAAGUCCUGCUUUCCUGUCUUGGGGGACACCACUAUCAUCCCAUGUAAGUGACCAGUGCUCCCCAAGUGGCCCUCUCCUGGCAUUUCACUGAGACACAAGCUCCCUGAAAGCUGGGGCUUACCUGACCAUGUGCCCCCUGCACUCCCAGGGCUGAGACCUGCGUCUGGUCCCUGCUAGACACCCAGCGAGGGUUGACAGCAUGAGCGAAUGAGCUUCUCCGUCUGCCCGUAAGUGUGAUGGACACCUUCUCCUACAGCCACCCGUUUCACACAUCAGGCAAACGUCUGUCAAGUCCACUCCUGAAAAUCCUGAAGGAUGUGGCAUUGGACAGGUGAUGCAGUCACAGCCUCGCCCUAGGCCACUCCGGGUCUCUGCUGCCAGGCUACGAGGAGCAGAGAAACACAGGUCCUCUAGCGCAGAUACUUUCUCCAUGCAAGUCUUGAACUUCUGAAAGUCAUCCAUGUGGGUUAAAAUAAACUUCUUCCAAACUCCUGUGAAUAUUGAUAAUUGAUCUUCUCUUAUGAAUUAUGAAUGUUCUUAAUGACAUCUCAAAUGGUAAAUCCUUUCCAAAAGGCUUUCAGUUUACCUCACCCAGCUCCAUCAGAGGACUCACUAUCUAUGGCAGCUAUGGCCUUAUGAAAUGUAUUUCUCAAAUAAUAAGACUUGAAAGUAGAAAUGACUCCAUGAUCUAUGGGCUGCAGAAUGGAUGUUGUGUGAGCAGGCAUGAAAACAACAUUCAGGCCAGGCAUGGUGCCUCACGCCUGUAGUCCCAGUACUUUGGGAGUCCGAGGCGGGAGGAUCACUUGAGGUCAGGAGUUCGAGACCAGCCUGGCCAACAUGGUGAAACCCUGUCUCUACUAAAACUACAAAGUUAGCUGGGCGUGGUGGCGGGUGCCUGUAAUCCUAGCUACUUGGGAGGUUGAGGCAGGAGAAUUGCUUGACCCUGGGAGGCAGAGGUUGCAGUGAGCCAAGAUCACUCCAUGCCACUGCACUCCAGCCUGGGGGAGAGAACAAGACUCUGUCUCAAAACAAACAAACAAACAAACAAACAACAACAUUAAUCUCCUUGUACAUCUCCAGUAGAGAUCUUGGGUGACCAGGUGCACUGUCAAUAAGUAGCAAUAUUUUGGAAAGAAUCAUUUUCCUAAGAAGUAAGUCUUAACAGUGGGCUUAAAGUAUUCAGCAAACCAUACUGUACACAGAUGUGCCGUUAUCCAGGCUUUGCUGGUCCAUUUAUAGAGCACAGGCAGAGUAGAUUUAACGUAAUCCUUAAGAGCCCUAGGAUGUUUGGAUUGGUAAAAUUGGCUUCAACUUAAAGUCACCAGCUGCAUUAUCUCUCCACAAGAGAGUGAGCCUGACCUUUGAAGAUUUGAAGCCAGUUAUUGACUUCUCUCCAGCCAUGAAAGUCCUAGAAGGCAUCUUCUUCCAAUAGAAGGCUGUUUGGUCUACACUGAAAGUCUGUUGUUUAGUGGAGCCAUCUUCAUUGACGGUCUUAGCUAGAUCUUCUAAAGAACUUGCUGCAGCUUCUCCAUGAGCACUUGUUAUUUCACCUUACACUUUUAUGUUAUGGAGACGGCUUCCUUCCUUAAACCUCAUGAACCAACCUCUGCCAGCUUCAAACUUUUCUUUUGCAGCUUCCUUACCUCCCUUGGCCUUCACAGAAUUGAAGAGAGUUAGGGCCUUGCUCUGGAUUAGGCUGUGGCUGCAGGGAAUGUUGUGGCUGGCUUGAUCUUCUAUCCAAAGCACUAAAUCUCGCUCCAUAUCAGCAAGGAGCUUGUGUCACUUUCUUAGCAGUUGUGUGUUCACUGGCAUAGCACUUUUAAUUUCCUUCAAAAACUUUUCCUUUUUAUUCACAACUUGGCUAACUGGCACAAGAGGCCCAGCUUUCAGCCUAUCUUGGCUUUCACCAUGGCUUCCUCACUAAGCUUAAUCAUUUCUAGCUUUUGAUUGAAACUGAAAGAUAAUGUGACCCUUCUUUUACUUGAACACUUACAGGCUGUGGUUGGGUUUCAAUGUUGUUGAAACCCAACAUUGUUUUUGUGUCUCAGGGAAUGGGGAGGCCCCAGGAGAGGGAGGGAGACCAGAAACGGCCAAUCAGUGGAGCAGUCAGAACACACACAACGUUUAUCCAUUAAGUUCAUCAUCUUAUAUGGUGCCGUUCAUGGCACCCCACGACAAUUCCAAGAAUAACAUCAAAGAUCACUGAUCACAGAUCACCAUGAGAGAUAUCAUAAUAAUGACAAGGUUUGAAAUAUUGUGAAAAUUACCAAAGCGUGACACAGGACAAAAGCGAGCAUGUGCUAUUGGGAAAAUGGUGCUGAUAGACUUGCUUGACACAGGGUUGCCACAAACCUUCAAUUUGCAAAAACGCACUCUCUGUGAAGCACGAUAAAGUGGGCUACAAGAAAAUGAGGUCUGCCUGCCUCUGUGCGCUGUACAUGAAAACAAGCCUAAUUUUCAAG